AACGCACCUUGCGCUCCUUGGUAUUCCGAGGAGCAUGCCUGUUUGAGUGUCAUGAAAUUCUCAACCUUUCAAGCUUUUUUUUAAAGAAAAAAAAAAAGCUAGUCAGGCUUGGAUUGUGGAAGCUUUGCUGGCUUUGACAGUCGGCUCUUCUAAAAUACAUUAGCAAGAUUUAAUCGCUGAAUCAUCUUUGAUAUGAUAAUUAUCUAUAUUAAUGAUGACACAGUGUUUUCCAUCCAAGGGAAAAUCUUGCUUAUAACUGUCUUUUGAAGACAAUUAUUAAACUAUUUGACCUCAAAUCAGGUAGGACUACCCGCUGAACUUAA
RNAcentral lists this unclassified non-coding RNA (323 nucleotides) under uncultured fungus. Its description in RNAcentral is "partial contains 5.8S ribosomal RNA, internal transcribed spacer 2, and large subunit ribosomal RNA". The stretch from base 1 to 52 matches the Rfam family "5.8S ribosomal RNA", at positions 103 to 154 of the family's 154-position model. Lineage: Eukaryota; Fungi. The record is from RNAcentral.